Molecule: ribosomal RNA, 500 nt
Filed under: uncultured Glomeromycotina
Lineage: Eukaryota; Fungi; Glomeromycota
Description: partial small subunit ribosomal RNA
Rfam family: Eukaryotic small subunit ribosomal RNA
Source: RNAcentral
CCAAUAGCGUAUAUUAAAGUUGUUGCAGUUAAAAAGCUCGUAGUUGAAUUUCGGGAUUAGUAUGUUGGUCGUGCCUCCGGUAUGUACUGGCUUUACUGAUUCCUCCUUCUUGAAGAACUGUAAUGUCAUUAAUUUGGUGUUGCAGGGAAACAGGACUGUUACUUUGAAAAAAUUAGAGUGUUUAAAGCAGGCUAACGCUUGAAUACAUUAGCAUGGAAUAAUGGAAUAGGACGUUUGAUCCUAUUUUGUUGGUUUCUAGGAUUGACGUAAUGAUUAAUAGGGAUAGUUGGGGGCAUUAGUAUUCAAUUGUCAGAGGUGAAAUUCUUGGAUUUAUUGAAGACUAACUACUGCGAAAGCAUUUGCCAAGGAUGUUUUCAUUAAUCAAGAACGAAAGUUAGGGGAUCGAAGACGAUCAGAUACCGUCGUAGUCUUAACCAUAAACUAUGCCGACUAGGGAUCGGAUGAUGUUAAUUUUUUAAUGACUCAUUCGGCGCCUUACG